AGUCAAACAGCAAUAGAGCCAGAUGUCCCGAAGUGCUGGGUGGAUGAUUUCUGAGCAUGACUAGCAGACUAGCACUUAAGCCCUCAUUGCUUACAGGGUGUGGUACACUUGGAUGUGUUACAUAAGAGACAACACCUGUUAAGUCUUCCAAAACUUACUCCCUCCCCUAGGAAUAUUUUUACAGUUACAGGAUCUCAGUGAGGAAAAGGUUUACUGGAUAGUUAAUAUGUGCCUCCUAUUUUGACACAUUCUGCUUACCUGACUCCCAUACUUUAGACCAUGACAGGCAGCUUGGAGUUGUGACUGGAGUCCAGACGGACAUCUGGCUGGUUGCACCACUUUGGAAUCCUAGUUUACUAGCCUUGCAGAGGUGGAACAACAGAGAUCAUUCUAGGCUUUUUUUUUUCUUUUUUUUUUUUUUUAAUGUGCUGGUCAGUUUUCCUGAACUAUGUUUUUCCUCCUUUAAAAAUUGUUUGUUAUAUAGCUCUCUGGGAAGGAAUGGGAAGGCUACAUUGGGAAAAAUAGAUAACAUUAAAACAAAAAGUAUCAUUAACUAUUUCUAGUUAAAAAAACCUGGUGUAGCAAGGCCCAGCUGAGAAUAAGAUUCAAACUCCUCAGAAUGAUGGCAGUGUGAUAGCUUGACAGAUAGGCACCAUCUAAAAUUUUCUCCAUCUUGCCAGAGAGUUGUUCAGGCCUUCAACAUCUCAAUCCAUGAGUUGGCUGAGAGUACAAUAAGACUGGGAAAAGGAAGGUGUCUCUCUUUCUACAAAUUUAUCUUUCUCUACCUAAAUAUUCUGGAAUUGCAAUCUCUUGGAAUCAGUGCUAUGGAAAGAGCAAAUUUUUGGAUGGAGGAGUGGAUAGAGAAGUGAAUGCUGAUAGCAGUGGAUAAAAGCACACUACCACCACACCCUUCCCAUUUGACAUCAACUUUUAAGGUUAUCAAACAUAAAAAUUGUUAACUCAAAAUCUUACAAAGCAAUUUAGGAAUAGAACCUUGUUUAAAUUAUAAAAUCAGCACUGGGAUAUGUAGAGUAGAUGACAGAACCUGGAAGUGAGUAGAUAGAUCUACUUCUAACAGGAGUUCAAAAUUAGAAACAGACUCCAUUCCCUAACUCCCAGGAAUUACAUUCAAUGUUUCUGCAACUAGGUACAGCUUUCUACUUCAUUUUCUGACUUCAUUGCCCACAUCAACUCUCCUCCUUUCCCAAUUUGGCCUUUUCCAACUAUGUAAAGCAAAACAGAAAGAGAAGGAAAGAGACUAGACUUUAAAUACCCGGUAUAAAAAGUUAAAGCCUUACCUUUUUAACAUUAAAGGAUACCCACACCACAAGAAGAAAAAAACCCCAAAGCUAUGAAUUCUAGUAUUGCCUGCCUACUGUCAUUCUCCUCACAAGAUACUAAUGGUUUUGUAAUCACUGCUCCUUUCUGAAGAGGACCCUGGUCAUGAAAGGUUCCCCCUCUUCUGGGAAAGGAACAGAGAAUGAUGAAAAACAAAUACUGAGCAAAGUUUAACUAAAACUGGGCCAUACCCUUUCGGGCAAUAACCUGAAAUCAUCUGGACCUGGAGAACUGUCUCGGUCAAGACCAUCUUCUAACUACCAGGUUGUGUGUCCAAAUUUAUGAUUGUCAUAAGAGACAGUGAACUUAUCUCACUUUUAUCCUUUGUAUUUCCUUCAAGAAGAUUCUUGCGAAUAAAUUUUUAAUCCCCUUUCCCCCAUCCUUCUUUUUAGCUGCUUUUUAUGUGUUGUCUUUAUAUAUUAGAUUAAAAAGUCUUUGAGGGCAGGGACUUCCAUUUUUAUUCGUAUCCCCAGCACUUGGCCCAAUGCCUGACACAUGGUAUGUACUUAAUAAAUAUGCUAAUGACUAAUAAAUUCUAAAGCCUUACACCAGCUUUCAUGCCUUUCCCCUCAAGAUGGCCUAAUUCCCUUUGAUAUUCAAUUGAUUAUUUUCUUAUUCCAUUCCUUGACUAUAUUAAAUGACUACUUGAAUGCUACAGAAGGCUGUUGUUCUGUUUAUAGAUGUCCUCUAUAUCAACUAACACUUUGCCUUUAAGAAUCAGUAUUUCCCACUACCAUAGUUCCUUCCAUCAAAACAAAGCAUAGUCUCCUCUCCCCAUGCCUCUGCAAAUAAGUUUCUGUGGGUUGCUAU
RNAcentral lists this long non-coding RNA (2148 nucleotides) under Sarcophilus harrisii (Tasmanian devil). Its description in RNAcentral is "lncRNA (ENSSHAG00000021412.1)". The record is from RNAcentral. Lineage: Eukaryota; Metazoa; Chordata; Mammalia; Dasyuromorphia; Dasyuridae.